GAUCUGGGAGGCCCCAACUUCAGAGUUCAAAUGGUGCACCUGGGAAGAAAGGAUAGGCGUGUACACUGAGUCGGAGCAAGUGCUGAUCCCAAAGGAAAUCACGCAUGGCACAACCGAGGUAAGCGGUUCACUGAAUUUCCUCUCUUCUUCUGUUUUCUAUUCUUUGCUGUUUUCUAUUUGUGGAAAAGUGAAUUAUCACUUUCUCAUCCUCCUACGUUUCUGAUUGACGCUGAUGCAAGAAGCUUAGACUUGUGUUCUAAACAAACACUGGAACUGGUGCUUUCCGUUUCACUGCCGAACAUGGAUGCGAGCACAUCUUCAUCAUGCUUCUUCUCAUCAUGCAUAGUGGUUGUUGGUCUGAUUGCUUCUGUACAGUAGAUCAAGUAGGUGACACAAGGUGAUACCUAGGAAGUGAUAUUGAUUAGAUAACGGUUUUGUGUAGCGCGAGCUCCCUGCUACCCUCUAUCGGGACCGUACAGAAGGGAUCAAGUGACAUCAAGAUACGUUCACAGAUUUAAAAAAGACAACUCUGCCAGGACAAUCAAGGCGUAAGACACUAGCAUCUUCUUUCUUCUUUGUUCCCAUCUGCUUGUCCAUUAGGCUGCUUUGCUGAGCAGCGGCAGCUGAGAUGUGACAGGAUGCUGGCUCCAAAGGAGGGCCCCUUCAUCAGUCAAAAUCACUACUACUGUUGUAUAUAGGGGUGACAGCCUACUAGCCUUAGCCUUAGGCGCGCAUCUUGCGCAUAUGGCGGUCUCGACACGCAAGCUCUUGGUGACAGCCUACUAUUGUUUCCAUGUGCGCUCCUUGCAAAUCUCAAUAUGAUGCCCAUUUUCCUUCCCAAUCAAAAAGUGCAACGCCACAUGGUUCUACCGCUAAUCAAGCUGUCAGGCACGUAUUCGUUUGGUAAUUUUGAUUCUUCGCAGACAAGGUCAUCGGUAGAAAGUUUCAGAGAACGGACCUGCCUUUGUCAGCACUGCUUGUUGUGUAUGGCUCACGCGGCUGCCCGGCACACAAUGGGAGCAGUGGACAACCAGAUGUUUGGCACGAGACUAAAGAAACGAACCUGUGUGUGGCCGUGAAACAUUUUAUUUUUUACCAAACCAGAAACUGGGUGGCCAUAGUAAAUAUGUGGGGGCCGGAAGCGUCACUGUCCGCACGGGUCAAACAGCUUGCCAGAAAUAAAGGGGCCCACAAGGGCUAGCAUGCAGGCCUAUAGCUUACCUAUAAAUGACAACACUUGCUAAUGACUCUGCAGCGAGCAGCUGCAGCUCCUUUUUCUUCUCGAAUCAUGAGCCAAACCAACGGUCGAGAUAAGCAGUACCAUGUAGCUCGCGCUAUAAAGGAACUUUGCGUAUUGAUUACUGCCUUGAUGUCUUAUUUGAAUUUGUUGGUGCCUGACUUCUUAAUACUUGCCUAAACAAUGCUGCAGUUUGUUUUUCUGCUUUUGGUUUGCAAGCUAAUUGUUUAAUUGCCAAUGAUUUUUUCAGUUCAUACAUGUAUAGCAGAGGAGACGGAUUUUGGACUAUUGUAUUUCGGAUGCCAAUAACGUGGAAAUGCAGUCUCAAGGAUGGAAAUAAAAGAGUCUGUGUGGUGUUGUUUUUCUUAAAGAACACGUUUAUAUUCCCUGUUCUUUUCGCUUCAGGUUUACAAGGUUUACAAGUAUUUUGUCUGCUACAUAAUGCAUGUGUUCACCGGCAAAAAUUCAGUUUUAUUACUGUCAUAUUUACCACUUCAGGUUAGUGAUUCAUAGCACGUCAUUGUUGAAAGCCUACAUAAAGGAUAACCAAUAUUGUUGACUUAAGUCUUGGUAUUAUUUCAGUUCUAACUACAGGACAAAAGGGAUCUAGGAAUAUUAUGUUGAGUCAUUGACUUUGUACAAUUUUUAUGCGAGGGGUCAUUACAGAGAGCAAUAUUGCUCAGUUAUUAUCAAUUUCUUGCAUAUCAGUAAUUGAUAGUGAUAGUGCUAGCAUGAUAGUAUAGUUUAGUUGGUUAUUCCUUCAAAGAAAAUUAUAGUUGGUUAAAUUAUUUUGUUAGUGCUUCUAUUUAGAUUCAUUUUAUAGGAAUGAAAAAACUGUAAUUAGGAAGCCACGUUGUAUAAAUAUUGAAGUGCUGAUACUGCUUCCUCUAGAUUUCAAAUAGUACUUUUAGGCUCAAAGUAUAGACAAAAAUAGGUUUACUAAUCUUUUCCUCUAAAUAAACUUAGGUUGACUUUGCACACACUGUAAUUAAAUUAGGAUGAAAGAAGACUAUCCUCAAUUUUUUUUUUUUGGUUUGUGUUUCAUAUCUAUUGCUUAUCUGCUCUGCCUCAAUUACUCAAGGUUGCGAGGGGAUUCUUUUUUUACCAGGACAUUGUUUUUUAGGAAAGAAGUGCAAUUGACGCAUUUCAUAUCUACUGCUUAUCUGCUUUGCCUCAAUGACUCAAGGCUGUGAAGAUAUAUUAUCAAGUGAUACUCAUAUAUUGUUUGGCUGGCUCUUUAUCCUAUGAGAGGAAUUGAAUGAUUGAAUUAUGCAUUUGAUAUUACCAAUAUACAUCGUGUAAAUGUUUUUUUUUUCUUUUGACAGUGCACUACAUGUGUCUGCACUAGGGCAAAGAGGCGAAGAUGAGCCCAAGGUGGCCAAAAGCAACAUCUUCCCCAUCCAGGAGCUCCAAAUAUGUGUCUCAGCGUGAAGGAUUCGGCCCAUGGUCAUUGGAGUUUGAACAUGACACUGUUGAUGGCGAGAAGAAGAGAUGUCUCACAUACACUGAAAAAUUGGGUUGAUGUUGUGGUGCCUCAGGACAUAGUACAAGCAAGAUGUAGCUGCCUCAGCCCCUUAC
Molecule: long non-coding RNA, 2815 nt
Filed under: Triticum aestivum (bread wheat)
Lineage: Eukaryota; Viridiplantae; Streptophyta; Magnoliopsida; Poales; Poaceae
Description: long non-coding RNA (TAES_LNC006643)
Source: RNAcentral